This 1500-nucleotide ribosomal RNA is filed under the name metagenome. Its description in RNAcentral is "bacterial SSU rRNA". It matches the Rfam family "Bacterial small subunit ribosomal RNA". The record is from RNAcentral.
AGAGUUUGAUCAUGGCUCAGAUUGAACGCUGGCGGCAGGCCUAACACAUGCAAGUCGAACGGUAACAGGAAGAAGCUUGCUUCUUUGCUGACGAGUGGCGGACGGGUGAGUAAUGUCUGGGAAACUGCCUGAUGGAGGGGGAUAACUACUGGAAACGGUAGCUAAUACCGCAUAACGUCGCAAGACCAAAGAGGGGGACCUUCGGGCCUCUUGCCAUCGGAUGUGCCCAGAUGGGAUUAGCUAGUAGGUGGGGUAACGGCUCACCUAGGCGACGAUCCCUAGCUGGUCUGAGAGGAUGACCAGCCACACUGGAACUGAGACACGGUCCAGACUCCUACGGGAGGCAGCAGUGGGGAAUAUUGCACAAUGGGCGCAAGCCUGAUGCAGCCAUGCCGCGUGUAUGAAGAAGGCCUUCGGGUUGUAAAGUACUUUCAGCGGGGAGGAAGGGAGUAAAGUUAAUACCUUUGCUCAUUGACGUUACCCGCAGAAGAAGCACCGGCUAACUCCGUGCCAGCAGCCGCGGCAAUACGGAGGGUGCAAGCGUUAAUCGGAAUUACUGGGCGUAAAGCGCACGCAGGCGGUUUGUUAAGUCAGAUGUGAAAUCCCCGGGCUCAACCUGGGAACUGCAUCUGAUACUGGCAAGCUUGAGUCUCGUAGAGGGGGGUAGAAUUCCAGGUGUAGCGGUGAAAUGCGUAGAGAUCUGGAGGAAUACCGGUGGCGAAGGCGGCCCCCUGGACGAAGACUGACGCUCAGGUGCGAGAGCGUGGGGAGCAAACAGGAUUAGAUACCCUGGUAGUCCACGCCGUAAACGAUGUCGACUUGGAGGUUGUGCCCUUGAGGCGUGGCUUCCGGAGCUAACGCGUUAAGUCGACCGCCUGGGGAGUACGGCCGCAAGGUUAAAACUCAAAUGAAUUGACGGGGGCCCGCACAAGCGGUGGAGCAUGUGGUUUAAUUCGAUGCAACGCGAAGAACCUUACCUGGUCUUGACAUCCACGGAAGUUUUCAGAGAUGAGAAUGUGCCUUCGGGAACCGUGAGACAGGUGCUGCAUGGCUGUCGUCAGCUCGUGUUGUGAAAUGUUGGGUUAAGUCCCGCAACGAGCGCAACCCUUAUCCUUUGUUGCCAGCGGUCCGGCCGGGAACUCAAAGGAGACUGCCAGUGAUAAACUGGAGGAAGGUGGGGAUGACGUCAAGUCAUCAUGGCCCUUACGACCAGGGCUACACACGUGCUACAAUGGCGCAUACAAAGAGAAGCGACCUCGCGAGAGCAAGCGGACCUCAUAAAGUGCGUCGUAGUCCGGAUUGGAGUCUGCAACUCGACUCCAUGAAGUCGGAAUCGCUAGUAAUCGUGGAUCAGAAUGCCACGGUGAAUACGUUCCCGGGCCUUGUACGCACCGCCCGUCACACCAUGGGAGUGGGUUGCAAAAGAAGUAGGUAGCUUAACCUUCGGGAGGGCGCUUACCACUUUGUGAUUCAUGACUGGGGUGAAGUCGUAACAAGGUA